This 254-nucleotide ribosomal RNA is filed under the name uncultured bacterium. Its description in RNAcentral is "partial 16S ribosomal RNA". It matches the Rfam family "Bacterial small subunit ribosomal RNA", at positions 524 to 776 of the family's 1533-position model. The record is from RNAcentral.
UACGAAGGGGGCUAGCGUUGCUCGGAUUGACUGGGCGUAAAGGGCGCGUAGGCGGCCACCGCAAGUCGGUUGUGAAAUCUCCGGGCUUAACCCGGAAAGGUCAAUCGAUACUGCGGGGCUAGAGUGCAGAAGGGGCAACUGGAAUUCUCGGUGUAGCGGUGAAAUGCGUAGAUAUCGAGAGGAACACCUGCGGCGAAGGCGGGUUGCUGGGCUGACACUGACGCUGAAGCGCGAAAGCUAGGGGAGCGAACGGG